Molecule: transfer RNA, 67 nt
Filed under: Eophona migratoria
Lineage: Eukaryota; Metazoa; Chordata; Aves; Passeriformes; Fringillidae
Description: tRNA-Cys
Source: RNAcentral
GGCUCUGUAGUGAAAUUCAUAGUGAGUUGCAAACUCAUUGAUGUGCAUCAAUCAUGCACCGGAGUCU